RNAcentral lists this ribosomal RNA (253 nucleotides) under uncultured bacterium. Its description in RNAcentral is "partial 16S ribosomal RNA". It matches the Rfam family "Bacterial small subunit ribosomal RNA", at positions 524 to 776 of the family's 1533-position model. The record is from RNAcentral.
UACAGAGGGGGCAAGCGUUAUUCGGAUUCACUGGGUUUAAAGGGUGCGUAGGUGGGCAGGUAAGUCCGUGGUGAAAUCCCUGAGCUUAACUCGGGAACUGCCAUGGAUACUAUUUGUCUUGAAUAUUGUGGAGGUAAGCGGAAUAUGUCAUGUAGCGGUGAAAUGCUUAGAUAUGACAUAGAACACCAAUUGCGAAGGCAGCUCACUACACAAAUAUUGACGCUGAGGCACGAAAGCGUGGGGAUCAAACAGG